Molecule: unclassified non-coding RNA, 726 nt
Filed under: Kluyveromyces marxianus
Lineage: Eukaryota; Fungi; Ascomycota; Saccharomycetes; Saccharomycetales; Saccharomycetaceae
Description: sequence contains 18S rRNA gene, ITS1, 5.8S rRNA gene, ITS2, 28S rRNA gene
Rfam family: 5.8S ribosomal RNA (bases 274-427)
Source: RNAcentral
UCGUAACAAGGUUUCCGUAGGUGAACCUGCGGAAGGAUCAUUAAAGAUUAUGAAUGAAUAGAUUACUGGGGGAAUCGUCUGAACAAGGCCUGCGCUUAAUUGCGCGGCCAGUUCUUGAUUCUCUGCUAUCAGUUUUCUAUUUCUCAUCCUAAACACAAUGGAGUUUUUUCUCUAUGAACUACUUCCCUGGAGAGCUCGUCUCUCCAGUGGACAUAAACACAAACAAUAUUUUGUAUUAUGAAAAACUAUUAUACUAUAAAAUUUAAUAUUCAAAACUUUCAACAACGGAUCUCUUGGUUCUCGCAUCGAUGAAGAACGCAGCGAAUUGCGAUAUGUAUUGUGAAUUGCAGAUUUUCGUGAAUCAUCAAAUCUUUGAACGCACAUUGCGCCCUCUGGUAUUCCAGGGGGCAUGCCUGUUUGAGCGUCAUUUCUCUCUCAAACCUUUGGGUUUGGUAGUGAGUGAUACUCGUCUCGGGUUAACUUGAAAGUGGCUAGCCGUUGCCAUCUGCGUGAGCAGGGCUGCGUGUCAAGUCUAUGGACUCGACUCUUGCACAUCUACGUCUUAGGUUUGCGCCAAUUCGUGGUAAGCUUGGGUCAUAGAGACUCAUAGGUGUUAUAAAGACUCGCUGGUGUUUGUCUCCUUGAGGCAUACGGCUUUAACCAAAACUCUCAAAGUUUGACCUCAAAUCAGGUAGGAGUACCCGCUGAACUUAAGCAUAUCAAUAA